Molecule: unclassified non-coding RNA, 227 nt
Filed under: soil metagenome
Description: partial contains small subunit ribosomal RNA, internal transcribed spacer 1, and 5.8S ribosomal RNA
Source: RNAcentral
UUUCCGUAGGUGAACCUGCGGAAGGAUCAUUAACGAAUUGCGUUCGGGGUUGUUGCUGGCUCUCCUUUCGGGGGGGAGUAUGUGCACGCCUCGCAUCCAUUUCAACCUCACUCGUGCACUUCAGAGGACCUUUUGGUUCUCUUUUUCACACAAACCUCUGUAUAGUCAUUGUAGAACGUCUUGUAUUAAACUAAAUACAACUUUCAACAACGGAUCUCUUGGCUCUC